This 72-nucleotide transfer RNA is filed under the name Phrynosoma platyrhinos (Desert horned lizard). Its description in RNAcentral is "tRNA-OTHER". Lineage: Eukaryota; Metazoa; Chordata; Lepidosauria; Squamata; Phrynosomatidae. The record is from RNAcentral.
GCCAGCAUGGGGUAGUGGUUUGAACGUUGGACUGGCACUCUGGAGACCAGGGUUCGAAUCCUGGCUCGGCCA